This 932-nucleotide long non-coding RNA is filed under the name Homo sapiens (human). Its description in RNAcentral is "HSALNT0271129". Lineage: Eukaryota; Metazoa; Chordata; Mammalia; Primates; Hominidae. The record is from RNAcentral.
UCAUGAUUCUCAAGAAUCCUGCUGACUUGUUCAUUAAACAGAACUGGCAACUGACUCCUAAGAUAAAAAUUCUUGACAGCUUUCCAAGCAGAAGGAAGGAUGCUGAGUGACACAUAUAAAUAUAUAAGUGAGAAGGAAGGGUGAGCUCCAAUGGCAGUGACGUUUUCCGGAGCAGUUUAUGGAAGAGGUAAUCGUUGUAAGACACUACAUUGCAUUCUGGAGAAUUUGUUCACCACUGAGCAACAGUUCAACUACUAGCUUCAUCUGUACUACAGAGACUUUGGGAAAAUUUCUUGAAGACCCUUUUUUAAUGGGAAUAACCACUUCCAUUAUUUUAUCUCUGGGUAUUCUGUGAGUAUCUGUUGUCUCAAUAAGUAUUUCUAUAUCGUGUAUGUUAUGUAUAUUAAAAAAAACCCUUGAGUUCUUCAGAUGAAAUCUAUAAUGCAAAUAAAUGACAUUCAAAAUUUAGCUAUUCUAAAGAUAUUAACUUCUAAGGUAAUGGUAACUUUAACUAAGGUUAAACGUAACUUCUAAGCAGUGACUACCAUUUUUCUAUUUUUUUCAGAAUAAAUUCAUCUCAAAAUCUACAUUACAAUAAAUUAUCUCAAUAAUCCAUUUUCCUAUUUUUGAUUCAAUUACAUAAUUAAAAAACAUUUUAGUUAGACAUUUGAAGAGAGAAAAAAUAUUGUAAUAAACCCUAUGUCUUCUCAGGUUUUAAAAAAUCAAUAUGAAUUGUUAGUAUUAAAAAUGUUUGGAAUGCGUACUUUGAAAUAAAAUUUUUGAAAAAAGUAUUGACAUGUAAUGUUUAAAAGUCAAACUUUCUGUGGAAGUAACAUUAACAUCCAUAAUCAAUCAUUAAUACUAUGAUAGUGAGCCUUAUUUUUAUUUAACAACAUUUAAUCGUUGUUGUCUGCCACCAAAUUCUGCAUUUU